This 400-nucleotide ribosomal RNA is filed under the name uncultured bacterium. RNAcentral's name for it is "bacterial SSU rRNA". It matches the Rfam family "Bacterial small subunit ribosomal RNA", at positions 954 to 1349 of the family's 1533-position model. The record is from RNAcentral.
AUGGGAACGCGAAGAACCUUACCUACUCUUGACAUCCAGAGAACUUUCCAGAGAUGGAUUUGGUGCCUUCGGGAACGUCUGAGACAGGUGCUGCAUGGCUGUCGUCAGCUCGUGUUGUGAAAUGUUGGGUUAAGUCCCGCAACGAGCGCAACCCGUUGUCCUUAGUUACCAGCACGUUAUGGUGGGCACUCUAAGGAGACUGCCGGUGACAAACCGGAGGAAGGUGGGGAUGACGUCAAGUCAUCAUGGCCCUUACGAGUAGGGCUACACACGUGCUACAAUGGCGCAUACAAAGAGAAGCGACCUCGCGAGAGCAAGCGGACCUCAUAAAGUGCGUCGUAGUCCGGAUUGGAGUCUGCAACUCGACUCCAUGAAGUCGGAAUCGCUAGUAAUCGUAGAU